Long non-coding RNA from Paramisgurnus dabryanus, 974 nucleotides. RefSeq lists it as uncharacterized. The record is from RefSeq and is a predicted model, not a curated record. Lineage: Eukaryota; Metazoa; Chordata; Actinopteri; Cypriniformes; Cobitidae.
CCUUAAUUCUACUUGGCAUUGAUUCAACAAAGUGCUGAAAGCAUUCUUUAGAAAUGUUGGCCCAUAUUGAUAGGAUAGCAUCUUGCAGUUGAUGGAGAUUUGUGGGAUGCACAUCCAGGGCACGAAGCUCCCGUUCCACCACAUCCCAAAGAUGCUCUAUUGGGUUGAGAUUAGGGUGACCACCCGUCCCGCGUAGCGCGUGAACGCACAGCGUUUGAAGCCCAAUUCAUGCGUCCCGCAAAUUGAGACCGUGUCACGCAUAAUCAAUGCUUGCUUAAAAAAAGUUGGUCGCUCUAUAUCCUUGAGCCCCAGGCAGCCAAACGAACAUUACUAGACAGUUCAGGCUCGCUCCCCACUCGCUACUCGCACGCUACUGUUGCCCCUCAGCUGAACUGCUGACUAGGUUGUUGUUAACUUUUCGUUGUUGUCAUGACAGCGCAGUCCGCACGCAGCCACGCACGUGUAUCCCUUUUAGAUGCGCGCUUUCCAAUUCGAAAAAUGGAGAAAGAGACUGAGUCUGACUCUGCACCGCCAUCAUCAAUUAAAAAGAGAAGGUGUGGGUACAAGAAAGACUGGGAAAAUAAAUAUUUGUGGCUGAAAGUCCUAAAGAUGUUUCCAGAACACUGAACAGUUUUUUUCCUGCGCCUGCCUUUACUAACAUGCAAGUUCACCAUCCUUCCUCCCUCUUCUCGUUCCGUGAACCCCUGGAGUUAGCCUGCGUUUGAUUCAGCUCAUGCAAUUUUGAAGAGACAAAUCAUCUGGGAUUAUUCAGCAUACUGAUGCUGGGAGAUUAUUUGCCCAAUAUAGCCAUCCAAGAUUAUCCUGACCGGUAUUACCCUGGAUUAUUUUCUGCACAUGCAAAAAUGAUUCCCGAAACGACCGACUCAUCACAACAACCUCAAUGUCAACAGAAUUGGAACUUUCAAAAAUCAUAGCGAAUCCUAGAGAGGAGAAAGAGGAAUCUUGGAAUCACC